RNAcentral lists this ribosomal RNA (903 nucleotides) under uncultured bacterium. RNAcentral's name for it is "bacterial SSU rRNA". It matches the Rfam family "Bacterial small subunit ribosomal RNA", at positions 8 to 916 of the family's 1533-position model. The record is from RNAcentral.
AGAGUUUGAUCAUGGCUCAGAACGAACGCUGGCGGCGUGGAUUAGGCAUGCAAGUCGAACGAUCCCGCAAGGGAUAGUGGCGAAAGGGUGCGUAACACGUGGGCAAUCUGCCCCCGAAACGGGAAUAACUUCGGGAAACCGAAGCUAAUACCUGAUGACACCGAGCUGCCGCAUGGUGGCACGGUGAAAGGCGUCCGCAAGGGUGCCGAUCGGGGAUGAGCCCGCGGCCUAUCAGCUAGUUGGUGAGGUAACGGCCCACCAAGGCGAUGACGGGUAGCCGGCCUGAGAGGGUGGUCGGCCACAUUGGGACUGAGACACUGCCCAGACUCCUACGGGAGGCUGCAGUCGAGGAUCUUCCGCAAUGGGGGAAACCCUGACGGAGCGACGCCGCGUGGAGGAUGAAGGCCUUCGGGUCGUAAACUCCUGUCAGUCUGGAAGAAAAUCUGCAGCAAUGUGGAUUGACCGUACAGGCAGAGGAAGCUCCGGCUAACUCCGUGCCAGCAGCCGCGGUAAUACGGAGGGAGCGAGCGUUGUUCGGAAUCAUUGGGCGUAAAGGGCAUGUAGGCGGCUCUGUAAGUCGGGUGUGAAAUCCCAUCUCUCAAGGGUGGAACGGCAUUCGAAACUGCAGGGCUUGAGUUCGGGGGAAGAGAGCGGAAUUCUCGGUGUAGCGGUGAUAUGCGUAGAUAUCGAGAAGAACACCAGCGGCGUAAGCGGCUCUCUAUCCUGAAACUGACGCCGAGGUGCGAAAGCCAGGGGAGCGAACGGGAUUAGAUACCCCGGUAGUCCUGGCCAUAAACGAUGUGCACUUGGUGUUGGGCCGCGGGGCUCAGUGCCGAAGCUAACGCAUUAAGUGCACCGCCUGGGGAGUACGACCGCAAGGUUGAAACUCAAAUGAAUUGACGG